RNAcentral lists this ribosomal RNA (443 nucleotides) under uncultured bacterium. Its description in RNAcentral is "partial 16S ribosomal RNA". It matches the Rfam family "Bacterial small subunit ribosomal RNA", at positions 338 to 795 of the family's 1533-position model. The record is from RNAcentral.
CCUACGGGAGGCAGCAGUGGGGAAUAUUGGGCAAUGGGCGCAAGCCUGACCCAGCAACGCCGCGUGAAGGAAGAAGGCUUUCGGGUUGUAAACUUCUUUUGUCAGGGACGAAGCAAGUGACGGUACCUGACGAAUAAGCGACGGCUAACUACGUGCCAGCAGCCGCGGUAAUACGUAGGCGGCAAGAGUUAUCCGGAUUUAUUGGGUGUAAAGGGCGUGUAGGCGGGAAUGCAAGUCAGAUGUGAAAACUAUGGGCUCAACCCAUAGCCUGCAUUUGAAACUGUAUUUCUUGAGUGCUGGAGAGGCAUUCGGAAUUCCGUGUGUAGCGGUGAAAUGCGUAGAUAUACGGAGGAACACCAGUGGCGAAGGCGGAUUGCUGGACAGUAACUGACGCUGAGGCGCGAAAGCGUGGGGAGCAAACAGGAUUAGAUACCCCUGUAGUC